This 710-nucleotide ribosomal RNA is filed under the name Halobacillus kuroshimensis. Its description in RNAcentral is "bacterial SSU rRNA". It matches the Rfam family "Bacterial small subunit ribosomal RNA", at positions 55 to 733 of the family's 1533-position model. Lineage: Bacteria; Bacillati; Bacillota; Bacilli; Caryophanales; Bacillaceae. The record is from RNAcentral.
CUGCAGUCGAGCGCGGGAAGCGAGCGGAUCCCUUCGGGGUGAAGCUCGUGGAACGAGCGGCGGACGGGUGAGUAACACGUGGGCAACCUGCCUGUAAGAUCGGAAUAACCCCGGGAAACCGGGGCUAAUGCCGGGUAAUACUUUUCUUCGCAUGAAGAUGAGUUGAAAGAUGGCUUCUCGCUAUCACUUACAGAUGGGCCCGCGGCGCAUUAGCUAGUUGGUGAGGUAACGGCUCACCAAGGCAACGAUGCGUAGCCGACCUGAGAGGGUGAUCGGCCACACUGGGACUGAGACACGGCCCAGACUCCUACGGGAGGCAGCAGUAGGGAAUCUUCCGCAAUGGACGAAAGUCUGACGGAGCAACGCCGCGUGAACGAUGAAGGUCUUCGGAUCGUAAAGUUCUGUUGUCAGGGAAGAACAAGUACCGUGCGAAUAGAGCGGUACCUUGACGGUACCUGACGAGGAAGCCCCGGCUAACUACGUGCCAGCAGCCGCGGUAAUACGUAGGGGGCAAGCGUUGUCCGGAAUUAUUGGGCGUAAAGCGCGCGCAGGCGGUUCCUUAAGUCUGAUGUGAAAGCCCACGGCUCAACCGUGGAGGGUCAUUGGAAACUGGGGAACUUGAGGACAGAAGAGGAGAGUGGAAUUCCACGUGUAGCGGUGAAAUGCGUAGAUAUGUGGAGGAACACCAGUGGCGAAGGCGACUCUCUGGU